Molecule: ribosomal RNA, 767 nt
Filed under: uncultured Candidatus Poseidoniales archaeon
Lineage: Archaea; Methanobacteriati; Thermoplasmatota; Candidatus Poseidoniia; Candidatus Poseidoniales
Description: SSU rRNA
Rfam family: Archaeal small subunit ribosomal RNA
Source: RNAcentral
CCUGCCGGAGGCUACCGCUAUUGGAGUUCGAUUAAGCCAUGCGAGUCGAGAGUCUUAGGGGCUCGGCGUACCGCUCAGUAACACGUGGGUAACCUGCCCUAUGCUGGGGAAUAACCUCGGGAAACUGAGAAUAAUGCCCCAUAGUUCACUACGCCUGGAACGGUGAGUGGAUGAAAGCUCCGGCGGCAUAGGAUGGGCCUGCGGCGUAUCAGGUCGUAGGGGGUGUAACGUACCCUCUAGCCAUCGACGCGUACGGGUGUUGGGAGACAUAGCCCGGAGAUGGAUUCUGAGACACGAAUCCAGACCCUACGGGGUGCAGCAGGCGCGAAAACUUGGCAAUGCGAGAAAUCGUGACCAGGGAACUCCAAGUGGCUGGGGUAAGACCCAGUCUUUUCUUGACUCUUCAAAGGUCUUGGAAUAAGAGGUGGGUAAGGACGGUGCCAGCCGCCGCGGUAAUACCGGCGCCUCAAGUGGUAGUCGAUUUUAUUGGGCCUAAAACGUCCGUAGCCUGUUUGGUACAUUCGUGGGUAAAUCAACCAGCUCAACUGGUUGAAUUCUGCGAGCACGGCCAGACUUGGGACCGGGAGAGGUGUGGGGUACGCUCAGGGUAGGGGUAAAAUCCUGUCAUCCUGAGCGGACCACCUGUUGCGAAGGCGCCACACUAGAACGGAUCCGACGGUCAGGGACGAAGCCUAGGGGCACGAACCGGAUUAGAUACCCGGGUAGUCCUAGGUGUAAACGCUGUGGACUUGGUGUUGGGGAUGCUC